GGCGGGCUGCCCCGUGAGGAGAAGGAGCCCCGUAGGAAAGGCGCCUCCGCCGGGGGUAGCCUCAGGGGCGGGUGGCACGGGAAAACGCCCAGAAGGGGAGAUCUGCGGUGGGAUCAGCGGCGCGGAGCUGCUGAGGAGGGCCCGGGCUGUGUACCCCGGCGGCAGGCAGUGCCCGAGGCCGGGCAGCGGGCCGCGGUGGAGGUGACCGACCGUAGUGCAGCCUGAGCGGGCACAGCCUGGCCCAGUCCCCUCGCCGUGGAUCAGAGCCUGCCCGCCUUGGGCCGAACCAAGCCGAGGCAGGAAAGAGGCCAAAGUAACAGCCACAAACCAUGAAUACUCGUGAUGAACAACCACGUCAGAUUAGCUCUCUGUACAAACUUGAGAGGACCAGGCUGAGAUCAUCAGGGGAGAAGGGCAUCUGUUUCCUUCUCACUGCUGAUGGAGCCAUCCUUUGACUGGCAAGAGCAAUCAGCUUUAGUCUCUGCAACAUUCACAAGUAGAGACCUGUCCCUCACCACAGAGAUGCUAGUGGAUAUUGCAUCCCCUAGAACUUUCGCUCAUUCAAACCAAUAGCUCCCUGCACACAGCAAACAGCAGUAACUGGAGAGAAACCACAGGAAAGUGAAAAGAAAUGAGAAACAGUAUGUUUAUAAGCAGCAGUGGGAUUAGUUAUUUUUUCUUAAAAUUAUUACUUUCUGUCUAUUCCUGAUUAUAAUAGUUCCCGAAGCUAAAAAGGCAGCGCAUUUCAGCCAUGCAUGGAGGGGUUAAAAUCAGACGACACGUA
Long non-coding RNA from Chroicocephalus ridibundus (black-headed gull), 784 nucleotides. RefSeq lists it as uncharacterized. NCBI's taxonomy places the organism in Eukaryota, Metazoa, Chordata, Aves, Charadriiformes, Laridae. The record is from RefSeq and is a predicted model, not a curated record. The transcript is spliced from 3 exons.